Panicum virgatum (switchgrass) is the source of this 1765-nucleotide long non-coding RNA. RefSeq lists it as uncharacterized. The record is from RefSeq and is a predicted model, not a curated record. NCBI's taxonomy places the organism in Eukaryota, Viridiplantae, Streptophyta, Magnoliopsida, Poales, Poaceae. The transcript is spliced from 2 exons.
CCACCUACUGUAUUAAUCGAAGAGGCAAAGCAUCGCCAACACAGGUACACCCCUGCAUACCAAGGGUUGUACAAAAUAAGGAGAAGGAGAUGGGAAAAGGAAAAGAUAAAACAGAGGAGAGGGUACAAGGCCAACAUUAGUCCAUCUGACAGAGGCAAGCUGCUCCCUACUGAAUAAAGCUGCAUCCAAAUAUCUAUACUCCAUCAAUCUCCAUUCCAUAGGUGACUGUAAAUUAAAGCUCACAGUCGAGUCCGACAGACGACGGGCGUGGUUGCAUCACCUAUGGAGCAUAUCCAGGAUACGAUCGACGAGCCUCCAACACCAUUUCAGAGGAGGAAUCCUCAAAGGGGGAGGGCCGAAGAGAGGAAAAAGAGGAGAACCAAGAGAGCGGAUCAUGGUCUCGUAACCUAGCAUUUGAUGAGGCGAUGCAACCAAGGAUCAUGGAAGAUAACAAGGCAAAGAGACUCUUAGCAGACCACCAGCAAAAAGACGGCCACCGAUCGACGAAUGGAGCCACCACCGAACAACAUACUCGCCGGAGACACCGCAGCCAUUGCACCUCCACACCACCCCUCGUAGCUACGCCGCUCACCCUCCAUCUGAGGGUCAGGCCAACGAAGUGGGGACUAAAUGCGGCGGGAGGGGAGCAAACCAAGGCUCACCAAAAAUGACGAUCUCCCCUUCAAUGCUGACAGAGCCACCCGAAAGCACAUCCGGGCUCUCAAGCACCAUCAUCCAACACUGUGCAAGGGGAGGAAACCUCGCAGAGAAACGGUAGAAGAGUGAAAACACCCGGCAUAAUAUUUGAUGGCACCACUGGCAAGGAGAGCGCCGACGGAGCAGAGGCGCCAAACGGAGGACACCAAACGAAGAAGAUCCACAGCUUGAAUUAGCCUUGCACCAGAACCAACGCCGGGGAUCCUCCGCGACGAUGCCUACAGGUUGGAGAGAGCUAAGUCGACGCCUCCAAGGAGACUUGGAUUUCUCAUUUCUUGAAAUGAACCCGUUCGCCAUGGAAAAUGGGGAGCUAUACCUCUGGACAUGGCAGCUUUCAAGAACUUCAAGAAGCGAGUUUCGUGCUUCCUGCGGACAUGAUAUUUUUUUCAUGGGAUUUUUGAAUUAACUCUUAUUUAUCAAUUGGUCAGGUAAGGAAAUAUAGUCCCUGCCAUAAGGAAGAGAGCGCAACUGGAAGUUUUAUCCAUGAACUAGAUGAGAAGGCGUCGCCACUUGGAUUGCACUUUUGAUCAUUCAUUCUCUUCUGUCGAAGCACGGGUCACCUGUAAAUUAUCAGCAUUUUUGUUUGCACAUAGAAAAUAUAUAGGAACACUGGUGUUGUGGUAUAUCUUGUUAUUUUUUUAUUUUUUUUGUUGCAUUUCUCAGUGCUGACUGAUGAAGUAGAGAUGACUACAUGAGGAGGUCGACCCCAUCAAUAAUGGAGCCUGUUCGCAUUAGAUGAUAACUGAGCAUCCAAAAAGCCACAACAUAUCGCAUCCAUGAUGCUGUUAAGGGCCACCAUCAUAAAUUGUUUGAAGCAUCUGUUCGAAAAUAACAGGGGGGCAGCAGAGCUCCACAUGUGUUGCCUUACCAUCUGAUUUGAAUAUCAGAUUCCAUCCUACACACGGAUAUAUUUUAAUAUCAAAGACAUAAGCAAGGUGGAGUGAUUGGAGUAGCAAAGUCAUAUGCAGAAAUAGUUAGGUUUCUGCUCCAUUUAUUCAUUGAUGAUCACUACAAAGACAGAGAAAUUCAAUUCAACUUGUUUAUGCGA